GGUGGCUCAGUGGUAGAGUGAUUGCCUGACAUGCAUGAGGCCUUGGGUUCGAUUCCUCAGCACCA
Molecule: transfer RNA, 65 nt
Filed under: Dipodomys ordii (Ord's kangaroo rat)
Lineage: Eukaryota; Metazoa; Chordata; Mammalia; Rodentia; Heteromyidae
Rfam family: tRNA
About the family: Transfer RNA (tRNA) molecules are approximately 80 nucleotides in length.
Source: Rfam by way of RNAcentral